This is a ribosomal RNA of 403 nucleotides. It matches the Rfam family "Bacterial small subunit ribosomal RNA", at positions 355 to 774 of the family's 1533-position model.
UGGGGAAUAUUGGGCAAUGGGCGAAAGCCUGACCCAGCAACGCCGCGUGAAGGAAGAAGGCUUUCGGGUUGUAAACUUCUUUUAUGUGGGAAGAACUUUGACGGUACCACAUGAAUAAGCCACGGCUAACUACGUGCCAGCAGCCGCGGUAAUACGUAGGUGGCGAGCGUUGUCCGGAUUUACUGGGUGUAAAGGGCGCGUAGGCGGGAUUGUAAGUCUGAUGUGAAAUCUCUCGGCUCAACCGGGAAACUGCAUUGGAAACUACAAUUCUUGAGUGACGGAGAGGCAAGCGGAAUUCCCAGUGUAGCGGUGGAAUGCGUAGAUAUUGGGAGGAACACCAGUGGCGAAGGCGGCUUGCUGGACGUUAACUGACGCUGAGGCGCGAAAGCGUGGGGAGCAAACA